CCCGACUGCUAUCAGAGUGGGACUAAGCCAUGCGAGUCGACGUAGCAAUGCGUGGCGAACGGCUCAGUAACACGUAGUCAACAUGCCCAGGGGACGUGGAUAACCUCGGGAAACUGAGAUUAAACCGCGAUAGGUCAAGAUUUCUGGAAUGGAUCCUGGCCUAAAUCUAUAUGGCCCCUGGAUUGGACUGCGGCCGAUCAGGCUGUUGGUGAGGUAAUGGCCCACCAAACCUAUAACCGGUACGGGCUCUGAGAGGAGAAGCCCGGAGAUGGGCACUGAGACAAGGGCCCAGGCCCUAUGGGGCGCAGCAGGCGCGAAACCUCUGCAAUAGGCGAAAGCCUGACAGGGUUACUCUGAGUGAUUUCCGCUAAGGGGAUCUUUUGGCACCUCUAAAAAUGGUGCAGAAUAAGGGGUGGGCAAGUCUGGUGU
This 429-nucleotide ribosomal RNA is filed under the name uncultured archaeon. RNAcentral describes it as "bacterial SSU rRNA". It matches the Rfam family "Archaeal small subunit ribosomal RNA", at positions 24 to 458 of the family's 1478-position model. The record is from RNAcentral.